Molecule: long non-coding RNA, 535 nt
Organism: Dermatophagoides pteronyssinus (European house dust mite)
Lineage: Eukaryota; Metazoa; Arthropoda; Arachnida; Sarcoptiformes; Pyroglyphidae
Source: RefSeq, a predicted model, not a curated record
AUGUAUUCUAUUCGAGUGUUGUCGUUUCAAAAAAAAAAUAAGCCUCACUUUUACUGUCUUUUUCUCUCUCUCUAUCUUUUUCGGGCUUGGAUGGUUAAAAACAAAAAUUUCUCCAAUACACAUUACAUUGGAAAGGAUUUGUUUUAUUUUGUAAUUUAUAAUUUGGUUGAAUGAAUGUAUGGAUAUUUUUUUUUUUGAUAUUAUUAUUCUCGCCUGGUCUUGCUUCGAGUCGAUGCUAAUUAUCUAUGUGUGAAUAAUUUGUAUAUGUGAUUUUAUAAAUAAUAUCGAACAUCAAAUUCAAUCAUUGACAUUGAUGUAAUAAAGAUCUUUUUUACUUUUGUUCGAAUGUACAUCAUAAACAAACACAACAACAAAAAAAUGCACUGAAUAUUUAUCAGUUGAAAACUAUUUCCAUAUCAUAAUUGUGAAUUAUUCGUCUGUAAUCUCGUAAUUGUAAUCAAUCAAAAUAUCAGCUAAAAAUUUCAUCGACUUAUACUGUUUCAUGACGAAAAAUAUCAAAAAUCAUCUAUAUCCG